AGCAGCCGCGGUAAUUCCAGCUCCAAUAGCGUAUAUUAAAGUUGUUGCAGUUAAAAAGCUCGUAGUUGAAUUUCGGGAUUGACGUGAUGGUCAUGCCUUAAGGGGUAUGACCUGUUACAGUUGAUUUCUCACCUUCUGGAGAAACUUGAUGUCCUUUAUUGGGUGUCUUGCGGAUCCAGGACCUUUACCUUGAAAAAAUUAGAGUAGUUUAAAGCAGGCAUUUUUGCUCGAAUACAUUAGCAUGGAAUAAUAGAAUAGGACGGCAUGGUUCUAUUUUGUUGGUUUCUAGGAUCACCGUAAUGAUUAAUAGGGAUAGUUGGGGGCAUUAGUAUUCAAUUGUCAGAGGUGAAAUUCUUGGAUUUAUUGAAGACUAACUACUGCGAAAGCAUUUGCCAAGGAUGUUUUCAUUAAUCAAGAACGAAAGUUAGGGGAUCGAAGACGAUCAGAUACCGUCGUAGUCUUAACCAUAAACUAUGCCGACUAGGAAUCAGACGAUGUUAAUUUUUUAAUGACUCG
RNAcentral lists this ribosomal RNA (516 nucleotides) under uncultured Entrophosporaceae. RNAcentral describes it as "SSU rRNA". It matches the Rfam family "Eukaryotic small subunit ribosomal RNA", at positions 569 to 1078 of the family's 1831-position model. Lineage: Eukaryota; Fungi; Glomeromycota; Glomeromycetes; Entrophosporales; Entrophosporaceae. The record is from RNAcentral.